CUACGCUGCGAUAAGCCGUGGGGAGCUGCGAAGAAGCUUUGAUCCACGGAUCUCCGAAUGGGGAAACCCACCUUCGAUAGCCGGAACUCCAAGACCUUGUGUUUUGGGGUUCGACCAGAAAUGGAAGAAAUCAGACCGCGAGGUUUUGGAUUUCCGGUUAUCAAGAGAAGGUAUGAGACUUCCGAAUAAAAUAGGAGGUUUUAAGCAAACCCAGGGAACUGAAACAUCUAAGUACCUGGAGGAAAGGACAUCAAUCGAGACUCCGUUAGUAGUGGCGAGCGAACGCGGACCAGGCCAGUGAUACAUCAAAGACAAUCGGAACCUGUCAGGAAAGCAGGGCCUCAGAGGGUGAUAGCCCCGUACGAGUAAUGCGAUGAUGUAUCCACGAGUAAGGCGGGACACGUGUAAUCCUGUCUGAACACGGGGGGACCACCCUCCAAGCCUAAGUACUCCUCAGCGACCGAUAGU
RNAcentral lists this ribosomal RNA (468 nucleotides) under Bradyrhizobium sp. Dp6.2. Its description in RNAcentral is "bacterial LSU rRNA". It matches the Rfam family "Bacterial large subunit ribosomal RNA", at positions 61 to 491 of the family's 2925-position model. Lineage: Bacteria; Pseudomonadati; Pseudomonadota; Alphaproteobacteria; Hyphomicrobiales; Nitrobacteraceae. The record is from RNAcentral.